RNAcentral lists this microRNA precursor (99 nucleotides) under Paramuricea clavata. Lineage: Eukaryota; Metazoa; Cnidaria; Anthozoa; Malacalcyonacea; Plexauridae. The record is from RNAcentral.
UACCUCAAAAUUCCGCAACAGUCUGUUUCAUCAGUAAAGAAUCAUCAGGCGGUACCGCCUGAUGAUUCUUUACUGAUGAAACAGACUGUUGCGGAAUUU